This 497-nucleotide ribosomal RNA is filed under the name uncultured bacterium. RNAcentral's name for it is "partial 16S ribosomal RNA". It matches the Rfam family "Bacterial small subunit ribosomal RNA", at positions 28 to 507 of the family's 1533-position model. The record is from RNAcentral.
GAUGAACGCUGGCGGCGUGCCUAAUACAUGCAAGUCGAGCGAACAGAUGAGGAGCUUGCUCCUCUGACGUUAGCGGCGGACGGGUGAGUAACACGUGGAUAACCUACCUAUAAGACUGGGAUAACUUCGGGAAACCGGAGCUAAUACCGGAUAAUAUAUUGAACCGCAUGGUUCAAUAGUGAAAGACGGUUUUGCUGUCACUUAUAGAUGGAUCCGCGCCGCAUUAGAUAGUUGGUAAGGUAACGGCUUACCAAGGCAACGAUGCGUAGCCGACCUGAGAGGGGGAUAGGCGACACUGGAACGGGGACAGGGUCAAGACUACUACGGGAGGCAGCAGUAGGGAAUGUGCCGCAAUGGGCGAAAGCCUGGCGGAGCAAGGCCGAGUGAGUGAUGAAGGUCUUCGGAUCGUAAAAAUCUGUUAUUAGGGAAGAACAAAUGUGUAAGUAACUAUGCACGGAUUGACGGUACCUAAUCAGAAAGCCACGGCUAACUACGUG